This 499-nucleotide ribosomal RNA is filed under the name uncultured bacterium. Its description in RNAcentral is "bacterial SSU rRNA". It matches the Rfam family "Bacterial small subunit ribosomal RNA", at positions 29 to 524 of the family's 1533-position model. The record is from RNAcentral.
AACGAACGCUGGCGGCAUGCCUAAUACAUGCAAGUCGAGGGGCAGCACGGUUAGCAAUAACUGGUGGCGACCGGCGCACGGGUGCGUAACACGUAUACAAUCUACCUUAAACAGGGGGAUAGCCUUUCGAAAGAGAGAUUAAUACCCGUAAUAAAUUGAACGGCAUCGUUUGAUUUUGAAAGCUCCGGCGGUUUGAGAUGAGUAUGCGUCUGAUUAGCUAGUUGGUGAGGUAACGGCUCGCCAAGGCGACGAUCAGUAGGGGAUCUGAGAGGACUAACCCCCACACUGGUACUGAGACACGGACCAGACUCCUACGGGAGGCAGCAGUAAGGAAUAUUGGUCAAUGGAGGCAACUCUGAACCAGCCAUGCCGCGUGCAGGAUGACGGCCCUAUGGGUUGUAAACUGCUUUUAUACAAGAGAAAACCCUGGUACGUGUACCAGGUUGAUAGUAUUGUAAGAAUAAGCAUCGGCUAACUUCGUGCCAGCAGCCGCGGUAAU